Molecule: unclassified non-coding RNA, 151 nt
Filed under: Racocetra sp.
Lineage: Eukaryota; Fungi; Glomeromycota; Glomeromycetes; Diversisporales; Gigasporaceae
Description: partial internal transcribed spacer region
Rfam family: Eukaryotic small subunit ribosomal RNA (bases 1-46)
Source: RNAcentral
AAGUCGUAACAAGGUUUCCGUAGGUGAACCUGCGGAAGGAUCAUUAAAAAAUUGAGGUAUUCGUACCUCUUUUUAUUUAAAACCUUACUCUAUAAAUUUAUAUAUAUAAAAAAUAAAUGAAAAACUUUCAACAAUGGAUCUCUUGGCUCUC